RNAcentral lists this ribosomal RNA (468 nucleotides) under uncultured bacterium. Its description in RNAcentral is "partial 16S ribosomal RNA". It matches the Rfam family "Bacterial small subunit ribosomal RNA", at positions 28 to 507 of the family's 1533-position model. The record is from RNAcentral.
GACGAACGCUGACGGCGUGCUUAACACAUGCAAGUCGAACGGAGAGGCCCUGCUUUUGUGGGGUGCUCGAGUGGCGAACGGGUGAGUAACACGUGAGUAACCUGCCCUUGACUUUGGGAUAACUUCAGGAAACUGGGGCUAAUACCGGAUAGGAGCUCCUGCUGCAUGGUGGGGGUUGGAAAGUUUCGGCGGUUGGGGAUGGACUCGCGGCUUAUCAGCUUGUUGGUGGGGUAGUGGCUUACCAAGGCUUUGACGGGUAGCCGGCCUGAGAGGGUGACCGGCCACAUUGGGACUGAGAUACGGCCCAGACUCCUACGGGAGGCAGCAGUGGGGAAUAUUGCACAAUGGGCGGAAGCCUGAUGCAGCAACGCCGCGUGCGGGAUGACGGCCUUCGGGUUGUAAACCGCUUUCGCCUGUGACGAAGCGUGAGUGACGGUAAUGGGUAAAGAAGCACCGGCUAACUACGUG